Molecule: ribosomal RNA, 440 nt
Filed under: uncultured bacterium
Lineage: Bacteria
Description: partial 16S ribosomal RNA
Rfam family: Bacterial small subunit ribosomal RNA
Source: RNAcentral
CCUACGGGAGGCAGCAGUGGGGAAUAUUGCACAAUGGGGGAAACCCUGAUGCAGCGACGCCGCGUGAGUGAAGAAGUAAUUCGUUAUGUAAAGCUCUAUCAGCAGGGAAGAAAAUGACGGUACCUGAGUCAGAAGCCCCGGCUAACUACGUGCCAGCAGCCGCGGUAAUACGUAGGGGGCAAGCGUUAUCCGGAUUUACUGGGUGUAAAGGGAGCGUAGCCGGCAGUGCAAGUCUGGAGUGAAAGGCGGGGGCUCAACCCCCGGACUGCUCUGGAAACUGUACGGCUGGAGUGCAGGAGAGGUAAGUGGAAUUCCUAGUGUAGCGGUGAAAUGCGUAGAUAUUAGGAGGAACACCAGUGGCGAAGGCGGCUUACUGGACCGUAACUGACGUUGAGGCUCGAAAGCGUGGGGAGCAAACAGGAUUAGAUACCCUGGUAGUC